Molecule: ribosomal RNA, 706 nt
Filed under: uncultured eukaryote
Lineage: Eukaryota
Description: partial Eukaryotic large subunit ribosomal RNA
Rfam family: Eukaryotic large subunit ribosomal RNA
Source: RNAcentral
UGGUAGUAGCAAAUAUUCAAAUGAGAACUUUGAAGACUGAAGUGGAGAAAGGUUCCACGUGAACAGCAAUUGGACGUGGGUUAGUCGAUCCUAAGAGAUAGGAGAAAUCUGUUGUAAGGUCUGGCUAUCUUCGGAAAGCCGCUUCUAUCGAAAGGGAAUCGGGUUAAUAUUCCCGAACCAGGACGUGGAUAUUGAGUGGUAACACAAGCGAAGCUGGGGACGGCGGCGGGAGCCCCGACAAGAGUUUUCUGUUCUUGUUAACAAGUGCACCGACCCUGGAAUCGGAUUGACCGGAGAUAGGGUUGGAGGCUUGGGAAAGGCGGUUAGUUUUGGACCGUUUCGGUGCGCUCUCGACGUUCCGUGAAAACCCAGCGGCGUGACUUAUUCGCACCCCUGGUCGUACUCAUCACCGCAUCAGGUCUCCAAGGUUAGCAGCCUCUAGUCGAUAGAAGAAUGUAGAUAAGGGAAGUCGGCAAACUAGAUCCGUAACUUCGGGAAAAGGAUUGGCUCUGAGGGUUGGGCUUGUGGGUCUCCGUGGCAAUGGGAUAGCGGGAUACGGUGGACUGCGCGGCCCUCACGGGCUGCGCGGACCGUCGGUCGUCCAGCUCCUCGGCGCUGCGGAGGACGGGUGCUUUCACGAGUGCCCUUUCCGCAACGCGUUGAACAACCAACUCAGAACUGGAGCGGACAAGGGGAAUCCGACUGU